GUAGCAUAAUAAUUUGUUAUUUAAUUGGUAACUGGAAUGAAGGAUUUAACAAAUAAAGUUUAUUUUGUGAAAAAGGCUAUAAUUUAAAUUUUUAAGUUAGAAUGCUUAAAUGAUUUAAAGGGACGAUAAGACCCUAAAAACUUUAUUUAUUGAUUUAAUUAUUGGUAGUUAUUUUGUAUCUAUGGGAUUGGUAUUUUUAGUUGGGGCAACGGGUUUAAUAAUUUAAAUUAAUUAUAACUAUUUAAGGUUUUUGGUCCUUUAUAUAAGGAUAAAUGGAAUUAGUUACUUUAGGGAUAACAGCAUAAUAAAUUUGGAAAGUUCCUAUUGAUAAAUUUGUUUGUGACCUCGAUGUUGAAUUGAAUAUUUCUUUAUGGAGAAGCAGCUAUAAAAGAGGGUUUGUUCAACCUUUAAAUUUUC
RNAcentral lists this ribosomal RNA (417 nucleotides) under Elasmopus nkjaf. Its description in RNAcentral is "partial 16S ribosomal RNA". Lineage: Eukaryota; Metazoa; Arthropoda; Malacostraca; Amphipoda; Maeridae. The record is from RNAcentral.